Long non-coding RNA from Sciurus carolinensis (gray squirrel), 4484 nucleotides. RefSeq lists it as uncharacterized. NCBI's taxonomy places the organism in Eukaryota, Metazoa, Chordata, Mammalia, Rodentia, Sciuridae. The transcript is spliced from 3 exons. The record is from RefSeq and is a predicted model, not a curated record.
CUCCAUGUCCUGUUUACAGCGAGCCCUGGGCUGCCCCAGCGCUGCCCAGACGUCUGCAGGGGGAACAUUCCUGGAGCUUCUCAAAUGCUCAGGGACGCCUGGUAACGGGUCAGCCCCAGCCAACCUGGCUCCCCAGACCCUUGCUCUCCGUCCCUUAAAAUAGCCUGCUCUGGCUAUUUUGGGUUACGGAAAGCCACAGGGAGAGGCACUGUUCUCAGGGGGACCCAGAGGGGCCCAGAGCCACUGAUCCUAAGGGCAGGAGGCCCACAGGCCGCUGCAGCUGCCGAGGGUCCCCCUGCAAAGAGGAGCGUCUACAAAUUGCAAAUGAGCAGGCUGCACGCAGGAGCAGCGGGAGGGGACCUGCGGACGCCGUCCCAGGGCUCCCUCCUGUCCACCAUCUGGGCCGCUGGACUGCCUGGCCCAAGCUGGAAUUCCUGGGGGGCUUCGGCACCCCUGACCCAGCUCUCCUGAGGUUCUGGAGUGGAUAGUCUAGGUGCAACUUGGACGCUGGGAUCUUUCAACGUCCCCGGGGGCUUCCAAGGCGGGGCCAAGCCUGAGCUCGGCAGCGCGACUGGAUCUGAACAAACAGCAGCCGCAUUAACUGCCCUUGGUGAGAUCUGUGUGCAGGAUGCUUAUGAGCAGACGUCUCGCACCCAGCUCCCCCCAGGACCAGCAGGGCCUGAAACUGCAGAAGCAGCUGAGAAAGGCCGUAGGGAACGGUGGACACUGGGCCACGGUGGGUGGGAGCCAAUGCCCGUCCUGGAGCAGUGGCCAGGACCCGGUGUCUGGUGGUCAAGUCCAGGGAGCAGGUCCCACAGGUGGGACCUGCUAGAAGUCAAGAGAUUCGGGGAAUCUGACCUCUAGUGUGAAGUUUAGAAACAUCAGCAAGGAAUUCAGCCUGGAAGGAGGGAGCGGAGCAGCCCUGCCCACGGGUGACCGUUGCCCACAGGGGCUGGUUUGAGGCCUUUGCUUCACAUCCACGGUCAUUUUCCUGACUGUGGUACCCACAGGGUUAGAGACUCGGAGUGGAAAGGGGUUGGUCAAGUCGCUGUGGGGGCUGAACAGUGUCCCCAGGUGUCUGCCCCGACCUCCGUCCUGCGUUGGACGUGCUGCUCACCUGCUGCGGGGACCAGGCUGCAGGUGGAUCUCAGGUUGCUGACCACCUGCUUUCAAGCCGCAUUGUGGGGUGCGACAGGGUCCUUUAAAUGUGGACAAGGGAAGCUGGAGGGUCAACCCCAGUGUCAGAAAGACCAGCCUGGCCUUUGCUCGUCCUGGGGAAGGAGGAACACAGGGCUUCCAGCCUGGCACAGCCUGGUGCACAGUUCCACGACACCCUGGUUCCAGCUCAGCUCCGAGCGGUCAGAUGUGACUCUGGGUCACUUCAUCUCCUGGCGUGUGAUGUUGUCACAGCAACCAGAGGGAGCAGGCAUCGUCGUCCAGCUGAACGAGCGAAUGGAACCUGGGUGGCGCUCCGGAGUCUGUGUGGAAGAAGAAAGGAGAAAGAUGUUCCUGCUCCUUUUUAAAAGUGAACUUGGGACUGGGUUUAUUAGGCCUCACUACCCAUAUUGAAAAGAUAUGGAACAUUAUUUUAUUUCCUGUGGUUCUGGGACUCAAACCCAGGACCUCGUGCAUACCAGGCAAGCUCUGUACCACUGAGCUACACCCCCCACCCCUCCCCUGAUCCUUUGAAGAGCAUCUUUCAGAGAGCUCCUGCUGACCUCUCUGUGUCACAUGGCUGUACCUCACAUAAGGGAGAUGUCCUUACUUACCCUGGGUGGCCAGGGACCCCCUGAAAGCUGGGAGUCUCACAACUGGGGCAGAAGAGACUGGACGAGGGGACAGCCCACAUGCCUGCCAGUCUGCCAGGUCCGGUCUGCUUGGAAGGACCAGCCAGGGAUGGGCAGGAAGUCGGUGUGACUGUACCCUGACUGGCUGUGUGACCCCUGAGCAGGCACUUAGCCCUUCUGGGCCUCUUUUUGCUGGUCUUCAAAAUAACCAGCUUGAAAUCAAAUGUCUCCCGUGUCCCUUUCUGUGGGAUCUCGCUGUGGGGCUAAGAGCUGUGUCCUUGGCUGCCAGAGACAGUACCUCAGGCUGUAAAGGGCGGGAGGAGCCGCCUGCGUGGAAGGGCUUCCUGUCCUGGGGGCCUCGGGAACAUGUCCCCUCCUGAGCCAGGUCCUCCUCCCGACCAGACGUGGGGGCCGGCUUUUGGCCAACGAGCUGCAGAGAGCAGAGGGCGUCACUCACCACCGUAGCGAGCCAGGAACUAACUUUACGAAAAAAUAGGAAUCACUGGUUUCCUACGGCUGCCGUGGCGAAUGGCCGUAAACCCAGAGGCUUGAUCACCUGUUCGUUCUGCAGGUCAGGGUGUGACCGGGCCUUCCUGGCUAGGGCCCAGGUGUCCGCCCUUCUCGAGGCUAGGACACAGCAUGUCCCGCUGGGCUGCAGGGCCCAGAGCGUGGCUCCAGACCAGACCCCAGCCACUCUCCAGCCGGCCCCAGGGCCUGCUCUGCUGGCGACGGUCGGCGGGCUCUGAAGCCGCUCGCAGACAGCACGGUCUCCUGGAAUUCGCUUCCAAUCGCACGGGCUCUGAACUUGUUCCGAGCAGCCAGUGAACACAGAGGAGCCGGGCGUGGGCCGGACAGCGAGAAGCUCUGGAAACCGCUGGCAGGGCUCCCCUGCCCAGCCCAGGACCCUCUGCGGCCCAGCAAGGCCGCCUCCUGGCACUCACCUCGCCACGCCCCUCCCCUCAGCACUCUGAGUUCCUGGUGUCCCUUACAGUUGGCGCCCAAGGCAAGUGUCCCAGCCCCUGGAGAGUUGAGAGGACAGCUGGAAUUCUGCAGCCUAAGCACCAAUGACAAAGGGGAGUUGUCCACUGACUCCAGAGCCCAAGGACAGCACCGAGGAGCCCCAGCACAGCAGCCGACUCUGAGGACAGAUGGGGAGCAGGUUCUGGGCAGCUGGGUACAUGGGCUUUGGUGUCUCACUCCCAGGGUCAAAUUCUGGAUCUGUUUGAGCUCUGUGACCCUGGGCAAGUUUCUUAACUUCUCUGUGCCUAGUUUUCAUUUGUAGGAGGGGGAAACAAUGGAGUCCCUUGUGUUGUGAGGCUCACAUGACGUCAUUGCUGAAACCACCCAGUCUGGGGGGAGCCAGGAGCAAGGCACCUGGGCUCUGGCCACUGCCAUCGGGCGCCCUGUCGGGGGCUCGGCACGGUGGCACUGGCCUGGGCAGACCUCUGUGUGUGGGGACGCUGGCUUCUCCCAGGUCUGCCCUCUGCCUCCCUCUGCCUUUCUUCCCCUUGCCACAGUUGCCCGCACCCUGGACACCUGUUCACGGGCUGCCCAAUGUCCCUGUGGGAGGCAGGGCUUGUCCUUUACGGCAGAAGAACUGCACCCCAGAGAGUCAGGCCUGUGGCCACAGGAGCUGGGUCCUGCCAGCCACCCAGUGGCCACCCACAUGGCCCCAGUCACCUUGAGGCCGCAGGAGCUGGUCCCACUGCACAGACGAGGGUGGCGUGCUCAGCUCUUGCUAAGGACACGUCGGUGCUCUGUACUAUCUCCUUUUAAGAUUCCAAGGGUCACCGAGAGACUGAGGCACAGGGAGACGAAGCGAUCCGCCCGUCACGCCAGCUUGGGGCCGGGCCCCAGGGCCGCCAUCCUCGCCAGCUGGAGGUGGCGGGCAGGGUCUGCAGCCAGGUCACUGCAGCCCGUCACCGGGCCUGCUCUCAAAGGGAGCCUUGUGACCCCAGCCCCUCCCCGGCUCUGGCUGCCCCCGUCAUGGCGAGCUGCCUCGCCAGAGGCCGGAUGUGCUGGGGACAGUGACCACAGACUGAAACCUCUGGGGCCCGAGCCAAGGAGAGCUCUCCACGCUUCAGGUGGAGUGUCCGGGGUCUCCCGGGGCCGCGUGGGAAGGCGGACGCGGUGCCCUCCUCGGUGCCCCCGCUCUGCCAUCCGAUCACACGAUAUUUAGGAUUUAGAACUUUCCCCAAAUACCCUCUUCUCAUGGCCAGUUUCCCCGAGGGUCUGCCCGCACUUGGGUGGAUAGAGGAGGUGGAGGCUGGUGGCUCCGCGGGCGUCCCCGCAAGCCCACGAUGCCUCACACGGACCUCGUGUGCAGCCUGAGCGCCUCGCCACCCCCAGCUCAGGAAGGGCGCGGAGGGUCGUGCCGCUAGAAAUAGGGAGCAUGUCCCCUUUGGUGAGGAGUUCGGGUCCCCCUCAGGUACAGAACUGUGUCCAUCUCCGAGAAGGACGCCCCUACCUCCCACACCUAUGCCUGGAGCAUCGGGGGAGCCUGCAGGUUACAGGUCACCUGCGGGCUCUGCAAUUCCAGACGUGCCGGCUGAGACGCAGCUGAUCGAGGGAUGCAGGCCCGAGCGGGCUUCCAGCUGCUGCUUCCUGACUCGCCUUUCCAUUCACUCUGAAUCUCACUGCUGAACUUGAGUCACAGCUGGGCCUGCUGGGGCACCCUGUCAUCCCAGGGGCUCAGGA